GACGAACGCUGGCGGCGUGCUUAACACAUGCAAGUCGAACGGCAAGGCCCUGCUUUUGUGGUGUGCUCGAGUGGCGAACGGGUGAGUAACACGUGAGUAACCUGCCCUUGACUUUGGGAUAACUUCAGGAAACUGGGGCUAAUACCGUAUAGGAGCUCCUGCUGCAUGGUGGGGGUUGGAAAGUUUCGGCGGGUGGGGAUGGACUCGCGGCUUAUCAGCUUGUUGGUGGGGUAGUGGCUUACCAAGGCUUUGACGGGUAGCCGGCCUGAGAGGGUGACCGGCCACAUUGGGACUGAGAUACGGCCCAGACUCCUACGGGAGGCAGCAGUGGGGAAUAUUGCACAAUGGGCGGAAGCCUGAUGCAGCAACGCCGCGUGCGGGAUGACGGCCUUCGGGUUGUAAACCGCUUUCGCCUGUGACGAAGCGUGAGUGACGGUAAUGGGUAAAGAAGCACCGGCUAACUACGUG
This 468-nucleotide ribosomal RNA is filed under the name uncultured bacterium. RNAcentral describes it as "partial 16S ribosomal RNA". It matches the Rfam family "Bacterial small subunit ribosomal RNA", at positions 28 to 507 of the family's 1533-position model. The record is from RNAcentral.